Molecule: ribosomal RNA, 293 nt
Filed under: uncultured prokaryote
Description: partial 16S ribosomal RNA
Rfam family: Archaeal small subunit ribosomal RNA
Source: RNAcentral
GUGUCAGCAGCCGCGGUAAUACCGGCAGCCCGAGUGAUGGCCGAUCUUAUUGGGCCUAAAGCGUCCGUAGCUGGCCGUGCAAGUCCAUCGGGAAAUCCGCGCGCUUAACGCGCGGGCGUCCGGUGGAAACUGCAUGGCUUGGGACCGGAAGGCGCGACGGGUACGUCCGGGGUAGGAGUGAAAUCCCGUAAUCCUGGACGGACCGCCGAUGGCGAAAGCACGUCGCGAGAACGGAUCCGACAGUGAGGGACGAAAGCCAGGGUCUCGAACCGGAUUAGAAACCCUCGUAGACC